GCGGCCGGAGGGGGCUGCGGCGAGGCCGAGCCGCCGAGCCGCCCCUGUCGCCGGGCCCUGCCUGUAAGACGUCGGGGCCCGCCGCCCGGCUCUCGUGUGCGCGCCGCAGUCGGCGCCCCAUCGCCGGCUCUGACAUGGAGGAGGGGGGAGCUGGUCCGGGGAGCCCCCUCCCGCCCGCCAUGAAGGCAGAGACCGCGACCGCGGCGCAGGAGCCCCCGGCCGGGCCCAGCCUCAGUCACCUACUGAGUAGCCGGAAGCUGGUGGCCCUGGGGGCCGUGCUCGGCUGGCUCCUGGUCAUCCACCUCCUGGUCAACGUGUGGCUCCUGUGCCUUCUGUCUGCGCUGCUACUGGUGCUGGGAGGAUGGCUGGGCUCCGACACCAUCGUGGGGCCUUCGGGUCGGCUGCACCUGGAGCGCUUCAUCCCCAUGGCCGUCUGCCCCCCACACCCCGAGGCCGAGAGGCAGCUGGAGCAGGAGAUCGACCGCACCAUCCGGAUGGUCAUGCGGGACUUCGUGUCGUCCUGGUAUCGCACGGUGAGCCAGGAGCCCGCCUUUGAGGAGGAAAUGGAGGCAGCCAUGCGAGGGUUGGUCCAGGAGCUCCGGAGGAGGAUGGCCAGGGUGGACAGCCAUGCUCUUGCCCAGAGGGUUCUGACUCUCUGUGGUUGUCACCUGCAGAGCUAUCUUCAGGCAAAGGAGGCCACGGCAGGGAAGCAGAGUGGCACAGAUGAGCCCUCCCAGCUCUGGGAGGCUUACUGCCAGGCCACCGCCCCACAUCCUGCAGUACAAAGUCCCAGGGCCGAGGUCGCCUACACACGUGGCAUCGUGAACGUGUUGCUUCAAGGCCUAGUGCCAAAGCCCCACUUGGAGACCCGGACUGGCCGCCAUGUGGUGGUGGAACUCGUUACUUGCAAUGUCAUCUUACCACUGAUCAGCAAGCUCUCAGACCCGGACUGGAUCCACCUUGUGCUGGUGGGCAUCUUCUCCAAGGCCAGAAGCGGCCCAGCGGGAGUGGGUAAACCACUCUGUCCAGCCAGUGCCCGGGAACAGCCCCCAGUGCCCACAUCUCUGCCACUGAUUGUGGAGGUCCAGAGUCUAGCAGAUGCGAGAGCCCCUUCUCCAGCCCCAGUGCUCAUAAACUGUAGUGAGCCUUCACACCCCUCCCCAGAAGUUGAAGAAGGCCAUGAAGCACUGGAGGGAGAUUUGGGGGGAGUGCUAGAAGAGAGAGAAGUAGGAAACAACUCUUCUCACUUCCUGCAGCCUCUGUUCUUGUCCGAAGACGCGGAGCUGGAGUCUCCGUUGUCUGAACUGGGCAAAGAAACCAUCAUGCUCAUGAACCCAGGCAACUUCCUCUCUGCCAGGAUUCAGAACUCCCUGUGUGCCCUAGGGGGUUCCCAGUCUCUGGACUCUAAGGGUGAUGAGGGGUCCAAAGGAAUUGAAGGAGCAGAAGCUGAGGAGGGUCCAGGAACAGAAACAGAGACCGGCCUGCUUGUCUCCAUGCUGAAUUCCUGCCCAGAGAUCCAGAUUGACACAGCAGACAAGGAAGUAGAACAGGGAGAUGUCACCUCUCUUACAGCUUUGCUGGCCAGUCCGGAAAGGAUGUGUCCCCCACGACCCUCGUGCUUAGAGAAAGAUCUGACCAAUGGUGUGAGCUCCCUAGAUCCUAGUCUCCCACAAGUCCUGCUCUCCUCCUCUCCACCUGAUCCCCUCAGCGCAGCCACGUUCAGCUUUGAGCCCCUGAGCAGUCCAGAUGGCCCCGUUAUCAUCCAGAACCUUCGUAUUACCGGCACCAUUACUGCUCGAGAGCACAGCAGCACCGGAUUCCACCCAUACACGCUCUACACGGUGAAGUAUGAGACGGCCCUUGACGGCGAGAACAGCAGUGGCCUGCAGCAGCAGGCCUACCACACUGUGAACCGCCGUUACCGUGAGUUCCUGAAUCUGCAGACCCGUCUGGAGGAGAAAUCCGAUCUACGAAAGUUCAUCAAAAAUGUGAAGGGUCCUAAGAAACUCUUUCCAGAUCUUCCAUUUGGAAACAUGGAUAGUGACAGAGUGGAAGCCCGCAAGAGCCUCUUGGAAUCAUUCCUGAAGCAACUCUGUGCCAUUCCUGAGAUCGCUAACAGUGAGGAGAUGCAGGAGUUCCUUGCUCUGAACACAGAUGCUCGUAUUGCCUUUGUCAAGAAACCUUUCAUGGUCUCCAGAAUAGACAAGCCACGUACUGUACGCGUUGCUGAUGAUACAGGAGUGAACAAGACAGAUAUGGAUCCUCACCACAGACUACCAUCCUAUGAGCCAAGAGAGCGAGUUGUUGUGGUGGUGAGCGCUAUCGUGGACACCUUGAAGACAGCAUUUCCUCGCUCUGAGCCCCAGAGCCCCACAGAGGAGCUGAGUGAGGCCGAGACAGAAAGCAAGCCCCAGCCAGAAGGCAAGAAGGCUACCAAGUCCAGACUGAGGUUCUCAUCCAGUAAAAUUGCUCCAGCACUGAAUAUAACUGAGGCACACGAGAAGAUUCUCUAUUGUCUCCGGGAAGGCAGUGUGGAGUCAGAGAUCCUCUCCAUGUCUGGGAUGGAAUCCUUUAUUGAAAAGCAGACAAAGUUACUAGAAACGCAGCCAGCAGAGGCCCCAGGAAAAGAUUCUGAACAAAUCUCCAAGGAAUGUGUGGAUGACUGCGUGUCAGGUGCAGCCGUGCCAGGCCAAGACCUCAGCAGCAGUGAUCCAGGAACAGAGACAGAGUUGGCUGACACAGCCCUGGAUCUGCUUCUCUUGCUACUGAUGGAACAGUGGAGAUGGCUAUGUACGGAGAACGUGCAGAAAGUUAUUCACCUCAUCUUUGGGACCCUGAUUCAGAGGUGGCUAGAGGUGCAGGUAGCUACUCUGACGUGUCCUCAGCGCUGGGUGCAGUGCCUCCGGCUUCUUCAGGAAUCCAUCUGGCCUGGCGGGCUUUUGCCCGAGAACCCUCGACCCGUAAGGACCCAGGAGCAGAAGGCGGCUGCUGAGAAACAGGCUUUGCAGAGCCUGAUGGGAGUCCUGCCAGAUAUCGUCGUAGGAAUCCUUGGGGUGAACAAAUGCCGGUUAAGCUGGAGUCUUGUCUUGGAGUCACUGCAGCAGCCCCUCAUCAACAGGCAUUUGAUUUACUGCCUUUGGGACAUCAUCCUGGAAUUCUUGGAUCUCAGUGCCUCUGCUGAGGAGUCCGCCAUAACCAGCUCUGCCACAGACACCCCAGGCAGCCCCAAGAAGAUGGGCAUCUCCCCUUAGCCAGAGGCUUGGAAUCCUCAACGCCAUCUGGCAAUUUUCUCUCCAUCUUCCUACCCACGAUGGAGCCACACCCCUCAAACCCCCCCUAAAAGCCAGAUGACAGCAGGAACCUUCCACUGAGCAGAGGUGAAGCCUUAGACGUCUGUCAGCACCCCCGCUGUAAAGAUCUGCCAGCUUCUCAGAUCAGUAUGGGAGGAGGCUGUCUGAGUGGGUUUCAUAGCUGCAGCAGUAACACCGGGCCCCGCCUCCCAUGCCUCUCAGGCUGACCAUCUCAUCGGUGGUGCCGACGUCGCCAGAAGCAGGCCCCAGACAGGCGGCCCUGAGCCAGGACCCAUCUCAGAAGCCCAUGCCCAGCUGGAGCCUCCUGGUUGCUGGGGUGAAAGGACCUCUCUGUCACCAUAGGAGGAAUCUGAUGAAUCCUGGACUAAAAAGGGGUGUUGUUUUCCCCCAAUGACAGACGUACUCUCCAGUCCCCAACCCAGCCCCUGGUGAGAGGUGUUUUUGUUUGUCUUUUUUACCUUUUUAUUACAUUUUGUCUUGUUUACAAUGCUGAGCUGAAGUAGGAGGGAGCAGUAACACCAGAGGAUGUGAAUUAUCUUGCAGUCAGUGGGGGAGAUUCGGCCACCAGCACGUGAUAAGGGAAGAGGAUGGGCUGGAUGUUGGAUGAAACCCUGUCCAGCUCUGUCACAUCAGUUAGAGAGCAAAGACGGUGCCUUCCAGUUCCUGGCCAGUUUCUGGAACAGUGAUGAUGCUCUCUGAAUGUUUGUCAUCCAAACGAAUGAAUGAUUAUAUUUCAUCUUGACUCUCAUCUCAGGAGAGAUUUUCUUCCACUUCAUUUGGGUCUCAGUUUGAGGAAAGAAGGAAGGAACGAACGAAGCAUGAUGAAAGUAGGGAGGAAAGAAUGUAGCCUUGACUCUGAGAGCACUGUCUUGACUUUCUCUGGGCUCCUAGAAUGAAAGUCCCUAUCCUCCAUUUUCCCUCUUUAAGCCUGCCAAAAUCACAUGGAUUAAGGCUACCAUACAGCUUUGAGGAAUGAGCCGCACCCCCAGACUUCCAUGGAGUCCAAGGACCUAUUCAUCCCCAAUUAGUCUGUCUCGGGUUGAUAAUCAAAGUGCACACUUUUGGUUUUCAUUCUUCUAGAGUCUUUUCCAUCAGCUCUCCUUCCAUUUUAUCUUUUCAUCAUUCCUCUGAGGAAUGUAAUACUUUACACAUGUAUAGGACUUUCUAAAUUAUGAAGUAUUUCAUAUCCAAUAUUUUAUUUAGAUCUUGACAAUCACUUUUUAAGGUAAUUUGGGGGAGUUAUUAGUGUCUUCAUUUUACUGAAAAGGAAACUUUUGCCCAAGAUCAGUCACCCAUUUUUUCAAGAGGCAGCAGCACCCGGAUUAAGAAAUAGUUCUGCCGACAGACAACCAGGUGUGAAUCCCAGCGCUACCGCGGAUUAGCUCUGAGUCCUUCGGUAGGUGAUUUAAAAUCUCCGUGCCUUAGUUUUUUCAUGCAUUAGAUGGGAAUAACAUGGAACUCUCCUCAAAGAGAACAGGCGGGAGAAGGGGUUAUAUUUAGGAUCCUUAGAACAAGCUCCAGCACACAGUGCGUAAUAAAUGUUUGUCGUUUUCAUUGCUGAAGCCAAGACUGGAACCCGAGUCCCCCAACUUCCAGCUCAGGGAUAUUUCCACUGCCCCCACUGGUGUCAUCCUCAGCGUGCAGACCAGAACCUAAGGCCAUCCACGUUUCAGUGAAAAGCUCAUCCAAGUCUCCGUUUACUGGGUCCAGAGCUAACAUCUCCUGGAACUCCAUUAAACAAAGCUGCUUCCCGUUGCUCUGGGCAGGGUGUCAACCCUCUAUAAAGUUUCAGAAGUUUAUAAACCAAGCUCUCUCAUCCAGUAUUACUGACAGCCUGAAGGUAGACACUCCAACUGUCCUGGGGAAAGGCCUUCUUCCUUCAGUCUUCAGAGACAAGGCUCAGGGUGACUUGUUGCUAUGGUGAUUCUCCUUCCUACCUCCCAGCGUUCGCUCAGGCCACGUGUCCACUGGAAAAGUCUCUCUUCUCUUCCUUCCUCUUGCCUUUCAUCAGUGCCAGACUAGUUGAUUCUGGACCACUGGUUUCUGACUCUCUGAGUACAAGUCUUGUCUUUUGCACUUUUAUUAUGUACUUCUUGUGAGUACGGACUAUGUUGUUUGUGGCUUUGUACUCUCCGUUGCACGUAGCAGAUGUUCAGGACUCAGCAGGGACAUCAACAGUGCUUAAUUCAUGAAUGGACUGACCGUCUGAGGGACUGGUGGUGGGCUCUCCGAGUAGGUGACAAUCAUCCUUACCCCUUGGUUGCAAGUUCAGGUGGUCAGAGAACUUGCCCAGAUAGCGCUCAACACCACAGUGCUUGGAAAGGGGAGAAGUUUCAGGAGUUGUCCUGGGGGAGGGACGAGAGUUCUCUGUAUGCUCACACCAGACCGGCGGCCACUGAGCCUCAGAACCCGGUCUGUGCCGCCGUCUGAGAGCAAGGCGUGUGCACGGAAAACGCAGAUGGAACCACAGCCCGCGGAGCGCCCCAAGCCAGACGUGACCUUGUUCUUCAGUCAACAACGAGUGAGAGUCAUCUGCCCCAGGGUCACCUGGCACCAAAGUCCCACAACAGAAGGGGCUCCACUUAAAGGGCAGCACAAAUCCAGGGCAUUAAAAUAACCUGAAUG
This is an RNA transcript of Physeter macrocephalus (sperm whale), 5936 nucleotides long. It is a transcript of the gene named sorting nexin 19, with no coding region annotated. The record is from RefSeq and is a predicted model, not a curated record. NCBI's taxonomy places the organism in Eukaryota, Metazoa, Chordata, Mammalia, Artiodactyla, Physeteridae. The transcript has 14 exons.